This 431-nucleotide ribosomal RNA is filed under the name uncultured organism. RNAcentral's name for it is "bacterial SSU rRNA". It matches the Rfam family "Bacterial small subunit ribosomal RNA", at positions 346 to 769 of the family's 1533-position model. The record is from RNAcentral.
GUGCACCAGGCGCGAAUCUUUCGCAAUGGGGGAAACCCUGACGAAGCGACGCCGCGUGCAGGAUGAAGGCCUUCGGGUUGUAAACUGCUGUCGGCUGGGAAAAAAUACGAUGCGUGAAUAACGCAGCGUUUUGAUGGUACCAGCAAAGGAAGCCACGGCUAACUCUGUGCCAGCAGCCGCGGUAAUACAGAGGUGGCAAGCGUUGUUCGGAUUUACUGGGCGUAAAGGGUUCGUAGGCGGUUCGGAAAGUCAAAUGUGAAAUCCCACAGCUCAACUGUGGAACUGCAUUUGAAACUCCCGGGCUAGAGUAUGAGAGGGGUAAAAGGAAUUCCCGGUGUAAGGGUGAAAUCUGCAGAGAUCGGGAGGAACACCAGUCGCGAAGGCGUUUUACUGGCUCAUUACUGACGCUCAGGAACGAAAGCUAGGGUAGC